CUCUCUCUCUCUUUCUUUUUUUUUGGUCGUUGUUGUUGUUGGGAUGUGGCUUAUCUUGAAUGGUGUGAUGCAGGUUUUGGAUCUCAUGGUUCGAAUGCUGGGAUUCUCUGAUGAAGAUAAGCAGCGAAUAGGUGUUGCUCAACAAGGUGGCAGAGGUGUUGUUCGGGGAGUUUUGGGACUACCUGGCCGCCUAGUUGGUGGAAUCUUGGGAGGAAGUUCAGCUGAUGCACGUGCUAAUGCAGCAUCUGAAAACCAGGUAUCUUCUCUUAUCCUUAAUACUAGUGAUUAAUAACUGACCUGCAAACAAAUAAUUUGGUUAGGUCAAGGGCUUUUUAUUUGUUCUGUUCUAGUUUUACUCAGUUUUGUUUGUGGUAUCUUAUUGCUCAUUUUUCUCAUUUAUUGAGUGAUCUUUUUUAUUCAAGUUGAUUUGAGCUCAUUUAUUAUGCAAUUGUGCUUUCGAUUGGUUUUCUUAGCUAUCAUAAAUUUGGUGCUUCAGAUUUUCCAAUCAGUGUGCUUUAUGCUGUUUUCUGAAUUUGAAUCCUAGUUGAAUAAAUUGUUGUGAGCUUGAUUUAUUUAUUUAUUUAUUUUGUACUCUCCAAUAAGUAUACUUAACAGUACAAAAAAUGCUUGGGCUUGUUGCCUUGACAGUACACUGUCUGUUUUGCUCGCAACUCAGAUUUUAUGGAGCUAUUCACCACAUUGCCAAAGCUGUGCAAUCUCUGUUAAACUUCUCUCUUUCUCUCUCUCUCUC
Molecule: unclassified non-coding RNA, 751 nt
Filed under: Hevea brasiliensis (rubber tree)
Lineage: Eukaryota; Viridiplantae; Streptophyta; Magnoliopsida; Malpighiales; Euphorbiaceae
Source: RNAcentral